UGAUGGACGAUCGUGCUCUUUGGAAGGAGCCUCAGCGACACCUCUGCAAAGCCUUGCAGUGCACCUGCUGAGAUGAAGCUGGCACCAGGCCACACAUACUGACCUGACCUUUCCCAUCCACAUUCAGUCAGCCCACAGAACAGAGCUGCUGCAGAAGUCCUUUUCCAGCCAGCAUGCCCACAUUGUGGCCUUUGCCACAGAACCAAAGUCUCUGUGGAAAGAACAGUCAUCCUUGUUCAUGCUUUUGGAGAUGCUUCUUAAAUAUCUGUCAAAACCGAAUUGCUCAGCAUGAACAUGUGCAUUCUGACUCUAUUUGUAUGAAAGCACAGCAAAGUGCAGAUGACACACCUCCACACUGAGGCCCGGUGCAGGACGGGGUCAUGCUUUUCAGCCAGAUUCUUUCUAGGUCACCAGUACCUUGAAUGAAGAUGUCAGUAUCCUGCAUCUGUUCUCGUAUCUUGCCAGAUGUCUCAAGGUGAGAUAAGAGGAUUCAUGCAGCGAAGGGAAAAAAUUUAUCUGUACUGUGUUUUUUUGUGAGUCAGCUAAAAAUAAAUAGAUAAAUCAGGCCUCCCUUGGCA
This 578-nucleotide long non-coding RNA is filed under the name Phasianus colchicus (ring-necked pheasant). Its description in RNAcentral is "lncRNA (ENSPCLG00000010917.1)". The record is from RNAcentral. Lineage: Eukaryota; Metazoa; Chordata; Aves; Galliformes; Phasianidae.